AUACGUGGAUAGAUUUGCCUGCUUGCAACCACGUCUAAAAAAUGCUAAAAU
This 51-nucleotide non-coding RNA is filed under the name bovine gut metagenome. The record is from RNAcentral.